RNAcentral lists this ribosomal RNA (292 nucleotides) under uncultured bacterium. Its description in RNAcentral is "partial 16S ribosomal RNA". The record is from RNAcentral.
GGACUACCAGGGUUUCUAAUCCUGUUUGCUCCCCACGCCUUCGCUCCUCAGUGUCAGUAUUAGUCCAGAGUAGCGCCUUCGCCACUGAUGUUCCUCCUGAUCUCUACGCAUUUCACUGCUACACCAGGAAUUCCCUACUCCUCUACCAUACUCUAGCUCUACAGUAUUAAAUGCACGUCCCAGGUUAAGCCCAGGGUUUUCACAUCUAACUUAUAGAACAACCUACAAGCCCUUUACGCCCAAUAAUUCCGAUUAACGCUUGCACCCUCUGUAUUACCGCGGCUGCUGGCAC